This 844-nucleotide ribosomal RNA is filed under the name Reticulamoeba gemmipara. Its description in RNAcentral is "partial 18S small subunit ribosomal RNA". It matches the Rfam family "Eukaryotic small subunit ribosomal RNA", at positions 553 to 1284 of the family's 1831-position model. Lineage: Eukaryota; Cercozoa. The record is from RNAcentral.
GAGGGMAAGYCUGGUGCCAGCAGCCGCGGUAAUUCCAGCUCCAGUAGCGUAUAUUAAAGUUGUUGCAGUUAAAAAGCUCGUAGUUGGAUUUGUGGUGUUUUUUUUUUAUUUGCUUUUUUUGGUUUUUUGUUUUUCUCUUUUUGAGAUGAAUUGAAAACCUGGAAGCGAGGACACCAUCCUUGACAGGUUUGAAAGUGAUAUUAUAUCGCCGCAAACAUUGUCAUCCUUUACUUUGAAAAAAUUGGAGUGAUUCAAGCAGGCAAGAAUUAUAAUUUUAAUUUUAAUUUAACUUUGCUUCUGCACAUGUUAGCAUGGAAUAAUGCAAGAGGACUUGGGUUUUCUCUUUCAUUGGUUUCAGGAAUCCGAGUAAUGAUUGAUAGGGACAGUUGGGGGUGCUCGUACUCGACGGCCAGAGGUGAAAUUCUUGGAUUCGUUGAAGACGAACAACUGCGAAAGCAUUCACCAAGGAUGUCUUCUUUAAUCAAGAACGAAGGUUGGGGGAUCGAAGAUGAUCAGAUACCGUCGUAGUCCCAACCAUAAACGAUGCCGACCAGGGAUCAGCGAGCGUUGACUUGGCGUUCUCCUUAUUUUCUCUCUUUUUGGGAGUAAUAUGUAGAUUUUGCCAACCUCAUUAAUUUGAAACGACCUCGUUGGCACCUUGCGAGAAAUCACCAGUCUUUGGGCUCCGGGGGGAGUAUGGUCGCAAGGCUGAAACUUAAAGGAAUUGACGGAAGGGCACAACCAGCAGUGGAGCCUGCGGCUUAAAUUGACUCAACACGGGGAAACUUACCAGGUCCAGACAUCAUAAGGAUUGACAGAUUGAAGHUCUUUCUUGAUUYKRUGG